GCAUCGGAGGUUCAGUGGUAGAUUACUCGCCUGCCACGCGGGCGUUACGGGUUCGAUUCCCGGACGAUGCA
This 71-nucleotide transfer RNA is filed under the name Dreissena polymorpha. It matches the Rfam family "tRNA". Rfam says of the family: Transfer RNA (tRNA) molecules are approximately 80 nucleotides in length. Their secondary structure includes four short double-helical elements and three loops (D, anti-codon, and T loops). Further hydrogen bonds mediate the characteristic L-shaped molecular structure. tRNAs have two regions of fundamental functional importance: the anti-codon, which is responsible for specific mRNA codon recognition, and the 3' end, to which the tRNAs corresponding amino acid is attached (by aminoacyl-tRNA synthetases). tRNAs cope with the degeneracy of the genetic code in two manners: having more than one tRNA (with a specific anti-codon) for a particular amino acid; and 'wobble' base-pairing, i.e. permitting non-standard base-pairing at the 3rd anti-codon position. The record is from Rfam by way of RNAcentral. Lineage: Eukaryota; Metazoa; Mollusca; Bivalvia; Myida; Dreissenidae.